UACGGAGGGUGCAAGCGUUGCUCGGAAUUAUUGGGCGUAAAGGGUAGGUAGGUGGUCUUAUUUGUCUGAGGUGAAAGCCUUGAGCUUAACUCAAGAAGUGCCUCAGAAACGGUGAGACUCGAGUUCUGGAGGGGGUCGUGGAAUUCCCGGUGUAGCGGUGAAAUGCGUAGAGAUCGGGAGGAACACCAGAGGCGAAGGCGGCGACCUGGACAGACACUGACACUCAACUACGAAAGCGUGGGGAGCAAACAGG
Molecule: ribosomal RNA, 253 nt
Filed under: uncultured bacterium
Lineage: Bacteria
Description: partial 16S ribosomal RNA
Rfam family: Bacterial small subunit ribosomal RNA
Source: RNAcentral